This 1241-nucleotide long non-coding RNA is filed under the name Homo sapiens (human). RNAcentral describes it as "HSALNT0030399". The record is from RNAcentral. Lineage: Eukaryota; Metazoa; Chordata; Mammalia; Primates; Hominidae.
CCUUAACAGUAUUAUCCUAAGUUGUGGAGAAAGGCUGCUCUCACCAGCACAAGAGACUUGGGCUGUUGUCUUCUGCAUAAAGAGGGGGAAAGACAUCUCCCAUAAUAGGGGGGAGAAAUCACUCACUUCUAUAACUCAAAUUUUAUCAAGGCCCACAUUUAAUUGUAAAUCUUUUUUUUUUUUUUUUUUUUUUUUAAGGAGGGGAAAGUUCAGUAACUUGAGUCUUUUAUUGGGAGCAUUCUUUUCCUAUUUGUAUUAGGGACUGGUAGACUCCAAUAGUAAAUUCAUAGAGGGUAGCAGAUGCCUUUAUUUCUGUUAGGCUACAUAAUGUGGGUCAAAGUUUUAUAAGAAGCACAAUGUCUUUUAUUAGCAUAGGAUUUAGCAAAAGCAGAAUGUAUUUGUUUGGAAAAUUUUCAUUUAGGCUGAUUCUCACUAAGACCCAUCCUAGGUUUAGCCUUAAAAUAACAUGUUUAUAAUAGCUUUUUCCCCAAAAAGCAAAUUCAUGGAUUUAUCACAAAACAGAAAUAUACUUCCAAUCUAUUGAUAUGUGGUCAUCGAGAUAAUAACUGAUUUAAAUAUCAGACAACCUUGAAUUCAAAAUACUAUUUUAAGUUAAAGAUUUACAGAAUAAAAAUACAUUGGUUUUAAAUGUCCCCUUCUCCGUUAGCUUUAUACCUUCUGAGGCUAGAGUGGGUUACUGAUAAAAGUAAUUUAAAUACAUAUAAUCCUUUAAUAAUUUCCUCUCUGUUGGUAUUUUAUUGUUUGUCUUCAGUUACAGAGUUCCUCAAAAGUUAAAGACUAAUGUCUCAUCCAGAAGAAAAGAUAUUAAAACAGAAGGCUGUACAAGAUUUUAAUACAGAGAUUUUUAUCGGUUUCAUCACAAUCUUCCCUUUCAAGAAUCUUCUUCCUGUUCUGCAAAUCUAUUUGUAAGGAUCUUGGCAGAUGUAAUCAAGUUGAGAUGAGAUCAUCUUGGAUUAGGGUGAGCCCUAAAUCCACUGACUUGGUGUCUUUGUAAGAGAAAGGAAAGCGAGAUUUGGAUGCAGACACAUAGAGAAGAACGUGAAGCUGUGAAGAAGCUGAUGUGCAGAUGGAGGCAAAGACGGGAGUGAUGGCAUCUAUAAGCCAAGGACCACCAAGAAUCGCUGGGGUCCACCAGAAGCUAGGCAGAGGCAGCAGGGAUUCUUCCUUAGAGCCUUUAGAGAAAGUGUGGCCCUGCCCACACCCUGAUUUCAGAUUCCUCA